GAGCGCCGUAGCAAUGCGGAGCGGCAGACGGGAGAGUAACACGUGGGAACGUGCCCUUCAGUUCGGAACAACCCAGGGAAACUUGGGCUAAUACCGGAUACGUCCGUAAGGAGAAAGAUUUAUCGCUGAAGGAUCGGCCCGCGUCUGAUUAGCUAGUUGGUGAGGUAACGGCUCACCAAGGCGACGAUCAGUAGCUGGUCUGAGAGGAUGAUCAGCCUCACUGGGACUGAGACACGGCCCAGACUCCUACGGGAGGCAGCAGUGGGGAAUAUUGGACAAUGGGGGCAACCCUGAUCCAGCCAUGCCGCGUGAGUGAUGAAGGCCUUCGGGUUGUAAAGCUCUUUUGGCGGGGACGAUGAUGACGGUACCCGCAGAAUAAGCCCCGGCUAACUUCGUG
Molecule: ribosomal RNA, 397 nt
Filed under: uncultured bacterium
Lineage: Bacteria
Description: bacterial SSU rRNA
Rfam family: Bacterial small subunit ribosomal RNA
Source: RNAcentral